Molecule: long non-coding RNA, 1690 nt
Organism: Brienomyrus brachyistius
Lineage: Eukaryota; Metazoa; Chordata; Actinopteri; Osteoglossiformes; Mormyridae
Exons: 3
Source: RefSeq, a predicted model, not a curated record
AAGUACAGGCCUCACAGGAAGUACAGGCCUCACAGGAAGUACAGGCCUUGCAGGAAGUACAGGCCUCGCAGGAAGUACAGGCCUCACAGGAAGUACAGGCCUCGCAGGAAGUACAGGCCUCUCAGGAAGUACAGGCCACACAGGAAGUGUAUUCUAUAUAUCUCCCCACCCUGCCCAUCCUUCCAGACCCACUUUACCUCCUUCUGGGUUGCCAACUUUGGUCAGCUGGCUGGCGUGAGAUAUUCAAUUGGAGACGAGUCUACACGCGCAUUUACAUAUGUCCCUGUAGCACAGCUGUGGGCGGCCUGCUGUUCUCCUGCCUGACGCCAGCUGGCCAUAGAGGAUGUCUUUGGGGAUGCAGCCAUCGUCCAUGAGAAGGAUGUGACCAAGCCAGUGCAGUCUGCAAUGCUUGAGUAGAGCAUACAUGCUGAGUAAACCAGUAUAGAUAAACCACCUCAGUGUUGGUCAUUUUGUCUUCCCAGGAGAUACCCAGCAUACGGCGGAGGCACAAUAGGUGGAAAGUGUUAAGUCAUUUCUGCUGCCUGACUGCCUAUGUUGUCCAGGUCUCACUGCCAUACAGGAGUGUGCCUGUCGCUUGUGGUGGAGCCCAUGUAGACGAAUUGGUGAACAACCUCCAAUUUGCAGGUGUUGGUGAUGAUGACUGUUUUGCCUUCUUGAGGUCCCACUGUGAGGGGGGUUCCCACUGCCACAUCAUCAGCAAACAAGAUAUCUUUGUUGAUAGACUCGCACACUUUGGUCUUGGCUGUAAGGCUGGGUUUGAACAGCCUGCUGUCCGAUCUGAUGUGUAGGAAGAUCUCUUCCUCGAGGAGCGAACGGCGCGCUUCAGGAGCGCAGCAAAGAAGAUGCCGAAUAAUGUUGGAGCAAAGACCAAGCGGUGCUUCAGUCCAGUGUGGAUCUGAAAGGGCCCAGUGGUGCAUCCAUUGUACUGGACUGUAUCGCUCGUGUUGACAUUCUAUCAUACGCUACAGUCUGGGCGGUCAACCUAUCUUGAUGAGGUCCUGGAACAAUCCUUAUCUGCUGACAAAGUCAAAAGCUUUUGUCAGGUGUAUGAAAGCAGGGUUUAGGGGAUUCUUCUGUUCUCUGCACUUCUCCAGGAGUUGUCAGAGGGAAACUAUCGUGUCUGCAGUUGAUCGUCCAGUGUGGAAGCUGCACUGUGAUUCUGGAUAGACAUGCUUGGUCAGAUCCUCAGGUAACAGGUAUACAGAGUAGGUGUUACAUUUUCACAGUUGCCUUCUAAUGGGGAAAAGACUUCAUACAUGUAACAUAUGAUUAGUUGGCGGGUUGAGCGGGUUUCCUUACCAGUUAACUUUGUUUGAAAAGCAUAGUUGCUUUAGCUCCGACUAUGGAGUUCCUCACAGGUAUACGAACAAAAGACACAUUUUGGUCAAAUCAAGUUAAGUAAAGUUUUAGUGUCAUGUCUGCUAUGCACCGUACACAGAAUAAUGAGAGAAAUGUCCCUUCCUGACCCACGGUGCAACAUUCAUGACAGGACAGACGUUACAGUGCUAAGCACAGAGUUUGGGAAUAAUUUACGUAAUGCAAAGGAAGAGGCCUUAUCAAUAAUUUAACAGGAGGAAAUUACAGUUGAACAAUCUUCUUAAUGCGUAAGCUAUUCACCGAAUCACUCACAACCAGUUAACAGGAUAUCAGACGCGCACUGUUACAUAGU